This 361-nucleotide ribosomal RNA is filed under the name Mastus ehrenbergi. Its description in RNAcentral is "partial 16S ribosomal RNA". The stretch from base 1 to 174 matches the Rfam family "Archaeal large subunit ribosomal RNA", at positions 1937 to 2146 of the family's 2987-position model. The record is from RNAcentral. Lineage: Eukaryota; Metazoa; Mollusca; Gastropoda; Stylommatophora; Enidae.
UACAUAUAAGGCAAUGUCUGCCCGGUGAAUGACUUUAACGGCCGCAGUACACUGACUGUGCAAAGGUAGCAUAAUAAUUUGUCCUUUAAUUAGGGACUGGAAUGAAUGGCGCUAUGGGAGAUGACUGUCUGAUGACAAGGAUUUAAAAUUUAUUUAGUGGGUGAAAAUACCCAUAAAAAUUAAAUAAGACGAGAAGACCCUUAGAAUUAUAACAAUUAAUAUUUAUUUUAUUGGAGUUUUUGUUGGGGCAACAUUAACCUUUUAAAACGGUUAAAUAAAGAGAAAAACAUGUAUUUUAUAAUAUGUAAGCAUUAAUUANUGAGGGAUAACAGCAUAAUUUAUUAAUAAGAUUGUGACCUCG